UUCUGGAACUGGAACAGGUGCACAGUGGACAGAAACCUUCACCAGGGGGGGAGAGGGUGUUUCGUCAUCGGGUGACAACUACUCGUGGCCUGCCUCUGGUAGGUAGAAAUCGUAACAGAUAGCAUAAAACGAAGAGAGACCCCCCAAACCACAGGCAAGAACGGUACUCCUGCAAAAUUUGAGGAGAGUGCAUCCAGCAGGGUGAGGUUUCUUGUAAAAUUCUUUAAAGUGCGCCUCUAUGCUCUAAACGAAGCGAUGACGUGUACUACUAAUCUAAUGGAACAGAUCAGAGGACAGAGGAGACCUAGUCGCUGUGUAUACAUAUACAUGGUGGCGCGGAAAUUAACGGAAGCACGCAUACACGCAUCUGGCUCGCUCGUUCUCGCUUUCUUUAUUGAUUUAUGCAUACAGCGAGUCACCCAACGAACAAUUUGCAGUGCCCAGGGAGGGUGGGAGACUUAUGGGAGAUGCAAUCGAAUCACGCCUGCGCGUCCACGCUGCAACUGACUGCAAUAUAUUUGCGGGCGAGACUUCCAACGUCCGAAGGUGCUCAUGCGGGAAGUGUGAGGGUUUAGGAGUAUAGUUUAAAGUGGGGUUUUAAGUGGUUAAAAAGUUUUUUUAGAAUUUAAUAAAAAACUCAAACAAAAAAAAUGUAAGUCAAAGAUAAGUUAGUGUAAGUUCUAAAAUAAAACCUACUUGAU
Anopheles stephensi (Asian malaria mosquito) is the source of this 701-nucleotide long non-coding RNA. RefSeq lists it as uncharacterized. Lineage: Eukaryota; Metazoa; Arthropoda; Insecta; Diptera; Culicidae. The record is from RefSeq and is a predicted model, not a curated record. The transcript has 2 exons.